Long non-coding RNA from Cynara cardunculus var. scolymus (artichoke), 403 nucleotides. RefSeq lists it as uncharacterized. Lineage: Eukaryota; Viridiplantae; Streptophyta; Magnoliopsida; Asterales; Asteraceae. The record is from RefSeq and is a predicted model, not a curated record. The transcript is spliced from 2 exons.
GUACGCUCCCUUUCCCUUACUACAGCCGACCUCCCUUUCUACGAUUGACGAAAAAGAUUGAAGAAAUGAUUUCUUCUUCUUUGAUCGAACUGCUUGACGAAAACGAGUUCCAUAUACUUCUUUGAUCGAACUGCUUGACRAAAAUGAGUGCUUGAACUGCUUCCAUCUUCUUUCAAUCGAACACAGCUAURUCGACUAAUACCAAUAGAGGAUGGAUGUACCGGUCGCACCACUCAUAAYAGUGGAGUAUGCGUGAGAGGCUCUUUUUACUCAGAGUAUUGAGUCUGACAACCUUUGACGCAACCUAGUUUGCGGGUCAAGUUUUCUAUACACCACYAGCGCCCCUCACUUGUAUCAUUACAUGUAAUAAGGGUAUUCUUGAUAUGAUGUUAAAUUAGAGAUG